RNAcentral lists this ribosomal RNA (253 nucleotides) under uncultured bacterium. RNAcentral's name for it is "partial 16S ribosomal RNA". It matches the Rfam family "Bacterial small subunit ribosomal RNA", at positions 524 to 776 of the family's 1533-position model. The record is from RNAcentral.
UACAGAGGGUGCGAGCGUUGUCCGGAAUCACUGGGCGUAAAGGGCGCGUAGGUGGCGACCCAAGUCGAUGGUGAAAGCUCGCCGCUUAACGGCGAGUCGGCCACCGAUACUGGGUUGCUUGAGCACUGUAGAGGCUAAUGGAAUUCCGGGUGUAGCGGUGGAAUGCGCAGAUAUCAGGAGGAACACCGGUGGCGAAGGCGGGACUCUGGGCCGAUACUGACGCUGAGGAGCGAAAGCGUGGGGAGCGAACAGG